Molecule: ribosomal RNA, 366 nt
Filed under: Triticum aestivum (bread wheat)
Lineage: Eukaryota; Viridiplantae; Streptophyta; Magnoliopsida; Poales; Poaceae
Description: partial small subunit ribosomal RNA
Source: RNAcentral
AUGGACCCGACAGAGAUUUUGAACGUCAGGUUUCAUAUAGGGGGGCAGUUUGUUCAAAUUGGUCCUUCUCUGGACUAUGUUGGGGGAGAUGUGGCUUACUCUGAGAUUGAGAGGGACAAGCUGUCCUUGCAGGAGGUCAAGGGUUUUCUUGCAGAUCAUUUGACCGUAAAGGAAAGCAUGAAGUAUUAUUUUGUUAUGCCUGGUAGAGACCUGAUUAAUGGGUUGUUGUUUCUACAUGAUGAUGCUGGUUGCAUGAUGAUGUCAGAUCAUACAACAGAUGGUGGAGUUGCAGAAAUUUUGGUGGAGUACAAUGGGGAACAGGAUGAAGAAGGAGAGGAGAGUGGCUCUGAUUUUGAGGAGGAAAUU